UGGUGGGGAGUAGCCGGCUACGCCCGGGUAAUACCGCAUACGGUCCUUUGGGGGAGUCCCUAGGGGAAGAAAGCCCGUGGCAACACGGGCGCACGGGGAGGGGGUCGCGGCCUAUCAGCUUGUUGGCGGGGUAAUGGCCCACCAAGGCGACGACGGGUAGCUGGUCUGAGAGGAUGGCCAGCCACAUUGGGACUGAGAGACGGCCCAG
This 208-nucleotide ribosomal RNA is filed under the name uncultured bacterium. RNAcentral's name for it is "partial 16S ribosomal RNA". It matches the Rfam family "Bacterial small subunit ribosomal RNA", at positions 134 to 334 of the family's 1533-position model. The record is from RNAcentral.